RNAcentral lists this ribosomal RNA (421 nucleotides) under uncultured bacterium. RNAcentral's name for it is "bacterial SSU rRNA". It matches the Rfam family "Bacterial small subunit ribosomal RNA", at positions 355 to 774 of the family's 1533-position model. The record is from RNAcentral.
UGGGGAAUCUUGCACAAUGGGGUCACCCCUGAUGCAGCCAUGCCGCGUGGAGGAAGACACCCCUAUGGGGCGUAAACUCCUUUUCUGAGAGAAGAAACCCCUGUAGGUUCAGGGUGUGACGGUAUCUCAGGAAUAAGCACCGGCUAACUCCGUGCCAGCAGCCGCGGUAAUACGGAGGGUGCAAGCGUUGUCCGGAAUCACUGGGCGUAAAGGGUGUGCAGGUGGGGCAGCAAGUCAGGGUUGAAAGCCCGCGGCUUAACCGCGGACGUGCCUUUGAAACUGUUGCUCUUGAGUCCCGGAGAGGUUGCCGGAAUUCGUGGUGUAGCGGUGAAAUGCGUAGAUAUCACGAGGAACACCAGAGGCGAAAGCGGGCAACUGGACGGGUACUGACACUGAGGCACGAAAGCGUGGGGAGCAAACA